This 456-nucleotide ribosomal RNA is filed under the name Triticum aestivum (bread wheat). RNAcentral's name for it is "partial small subunit ribosomal RNA". Lineage: Eukaryota; Viridiplantae; Streptophyta; Magnoliopsida; Poales; Poaceae. The record is from RNAcentral.
AUGGCUGGAAUCAGGUUUGCUUGUUACAAACCCUUGUGGAAAUCCAAAGCGCCCCCGCGUUGCAAAUUCUUCAUGUGGCUUGUCAUACAUAGGAAGUGCCUUACGGCAGAUAACCUUCAGAAAAGAGAGAGCUGCACGCACCUUUUUACCCACUGCAGAUUUACCCAGCAGCUUUGGACCCUCUUCAAACAAUGGUCUUCGGUGAAUUUUCCCAUCCCGGACAGCAGUUUUGACAGCACGGAAGACUGGUGGCAGGCGGCAAGGAGGACAAUCCCCAAGCAAACGCGACGGAACUUUGACACCAUUGUCAUUCUCAUUCAUUGGAGGAUCUGGAAGGAGCGGAACGCGAGAAUUUUUCAGCACACCGCUUGUAAUAUAGAGAGGGUCCUGGAUCUUAUCGGAGAAGACAUUGGAGUGUGGAGAUCAGCCGGAUGUGUGACUGAUUUAGUGGAUUAG